GCUGGCGGUNGCCUACACAUGCAANUCGAACGGCAGCACAGAGGAGCUUGCUCCUUGGGUGGCGAGUGGCGGACGGGUGAGGAAUACAUCGGAAUCUACUCUGUCGUGGGGGAUAACGUAGGGAAACUUACGCUAAUACCGCAUACGACCUACGGGUGAAAGCAGGGGAUCUUCGGACCUUGCGCGAUUGAAUGAGCCGAUGUCGGAUUAGCUAGUUGGCGGGGUAAAGGCCCACCAAGGCGACGAUCCGUAGCUGGUCUGAGAGGAUGAUCAGCCACACUGGAACUGAGACACGGUCCAGACUCCUACGGGAGGCAGCAGUGGGGAAUAUUGGACAAUGGGCGCAAGCCUGAUCCAGCCAUACCGCGUGGGUGAAGAAGGCCUUCGGGUUGUAAAGCCCUUUUGUUGGGAAAGAAAUCCAGCCGGCUAAUACCUGGUUGGGAUGACGGUACCCAAAGAAUAAGCACCGGCUAACUUCGUGCCAGCAGCCGCGGUAAUACGAAGGGUGCAAGCGUUACUCGGAAUUACUGGGCGUAAAGCGUGCGUAGGUGGUUAUUUAAGUCCGUUGUGAAAGCCCUGGGCUCAACCUGGGAACUGCAGUGGAUACUGGAUGACUAGA
RNAcentral lists this ribosomal RNA (619 nucleotides) under uncultured Gammaproteobacteria bacterium. Its description in RNAcentral is "bacterial SSU rRNA". It matches the Rfam family "Bacterial small subunit ribosomal RNA", at positions 35 to 645 of the family's 1533-position model. The record is from RNAcentral. Lineage: Bacteria; Pseudomonadati; Pseudomonadota; Gammaproteobacteria.